GAUGAACGCUGACAGAAUGCUUAACACAUGCAAGUCGAUGGGGAAGUGGUGCUUGCACCAUGGCAACCAUGGCGGACGGGUGAGUAACGCGUAAGGGACUUACCUGCAGGACUGGGAUAACAGGGGGAAACUCCUGACAAGACCGGAUAAUGUCAUGGAGCUGCAUGGCUUUAUGAUGAAAGGAGACGCCGGCGGAGAGCCUUGCGUCCUAUUAGCGAGUUGGUGAGGUAAUGGCUCACCAAGUCGAAGAUAGGUAGCCGGCCUGAGAGGGUGGACGGCCACAAGGGGACUGAGAUACGGCCCUUACUCCUACGGGAGGCAGCAGUGGGGAAUAUUGGACAAUGGGGGCAACCCUGAUCCAGCAAUUCUGUGUGCACGAAGAAGGUUUUCGGAUUGUAAAGUGCUUUCAGCAGGGAAGAAGUAAGUGACGGUACCUGCAGAAGAAGCGACGGCUAAAUACGUG
RNAcentral lists this ribosomal RNA (463 nucleotides) under uncultured bacterium. RNAcentral describes it as "partial 16S ribosomal RNA". It matches the Rfam family "Bacterial small subunit ribosomal RNA", at positions 28 to 507 of the family's 1533-position model. The record is from RNAcentral.